CGGUCUGGCGGCGAGUGGCGAACGGGUGAGUAAUGUAUCGGAACGUGCCCAGUAGCGGGGGAUAACUACUCGAAAGAGUAGCUAAUACCGCAUACGCCCUACGGGGGAAAGGGGGGGAUCGCAAGACCUCUCACUAUUGGAGCGGCCGAUAUCGGAUUAGCUAGUUGGUGAGGUAAAGGCUCACCAAGGCGACGAUCCGUAGCUGGUUUGAGAGGACGACCAGCCACACUGGGACUGAGACACGGCCCAGACUCCUACGGGAGGCAGCAGUGGGGAAUUUUGGACAAUGGGGGCAACCCUGAUCCAGCCAUCCCGCGUGUGCUAUGAAGGCCUUCGGGUUGUAAAGCACUUUUGGCAGGAAAGAAAUCGCAUGGAUUAAUACUCUGUGUGGAUGACGGUACCUGCAGAAUAAGCAUCGGCUAACUACGUGCCAGCAGCCGCGGUAAUACGUAGGGUGCAAGCGUUAAUCGGAAUUACUGGGCGUAAAGCGUGCGCAGGCGGUUCGGAAAGAAAGAUGUGAAAUCCCAGGGCUUAACCUUGGAACUGCAUUUUUAACUCCCGAGCUAGAGUGCGUCAGAGGGGGGUGGAAUUCCGCGUGUAGCAGUGAAAUGCGUAGAUAUGCGGAGGAACACCGAUGGCGAAGGCAGCCCCCUGGGAUGACACUGACGCUCAUGCACGAAAGCGUGGGGAGCAAACAGGA
Molecule: ribosomal RNA, 700 nt
Filed under: uncultured beta proteobacterium
Lineage: Bacteria; Pseudomonadati; Pseudomonadota; Betaproteobacteria
Description: bacterial SSU rRNA
Rfam family: Bacterial small subunit ribosomal RNA
Source: RNAcentral